UGCGUUAAAGCGAAAGUCUAUACAGAUUUCAUGCCCCUUGUCUAUACAAAUUUAUCUGCCGUAAACCGUCUGACAGAACGAUUUUCAGCAAAACAUCAGGAAAAUGGCCGCCAGCCGAUGUUUUCAACUAGACGAGUAUGAAAGGGAAUACAGUGUUAGAUAUCAUCGAGGAUAUGUGACCAAAGGGUUUCAGAAGUCUUGAGAGAUGUAUGUAGAUCAAACCCAUCAAGUACGCCAACACCAUGUCUACAAGGUCAUACCUCUAGAACCUCUCACACCUCUACAGCUGAAGACAAAUCUAAAAGUGGACAGAGGGAUAGUAUGAAUGCUUCAGUGAAAUUAAGGAGCUCAGGUUCUAACAAGCGUAGUAGAGCAGUGCAACACAGAGGUACUCCAAUGUGCAAUUUUACAAGUUUUUCCAGACAGUGAUUACAGCGAGGCUUGAAGACUACUGUACACAAUUUCUCAACAAAUCCAAAAACAAAGCCGUGUAACAUUCAACUAAGUGAUUCAAAGAAAACCAAACUACAAACAAGAAAGGGUCGAUUGAAUGGAGUGACAUUUUUACCCUGAAGCGUCCUAUUAAGAUAAAGAGAAUCUAGUCGUUUGUGCCACGGCACAAAAUUAUCAGACACAUAAAUAACAUUCAAGUAGUUAUGCAUUUACACGGAGGAUAUGACAUAAUUGUAUUUUCAUAUUGAAUUUAUCAUAUAAGUUGCCAGUUGAUCGAACCACACACUUAAUUGCCAACAUGGUUGGAAGGGUCUUAUUGUCCAAGCUGCAAAGAGUGUAUACCCUUAUAAACUAGCUGGCACAGUUUUGUGUCAGUCUGUGCUGGUUGCAAAUUAAAUCCAAUACUUUCAUAGAAUUAUAUGUUUUUAUUUAAUGUUUAUAGCAUCAAUAAAUUGAUAAUCUGAAAACAUAUUGCAAGUCAGGUUUUCAAGUAAAAUCCUAAUUAACUUUUAGAACAUUUUGCAUAAAGUAAGGUGAUAUCUCUAAGUUGUCAAAGAAAAGCUUUUUGCAGCUCUUUAUAAUUAAACAUGGCAUGGCACUUGUAUCUAUAGCUUUGUUCACCAUCCAAGUUAUACAUGUACUCAAAUUUUGUGACGUUUUUAGCUCACCUGUCACAAAGUGACAGGGUGAGCUUUUGUGAUCACUUUUCGUCCGGCGUCCGUAAACUUUUACUUUAAAUGACAUCUCCUCAUAAACCACUAAUCCAAUUUCAUCCAAACUUCACAGGAAUGUUCCUUUGGUGGUCACCUUUAAAAAUUGUUCAAAGAAUUAAAUUCCAUGCAGAACUCUGGUUGCCAUGGCAACCGAAAGAAAAAACUUUAAAUAUCUUCUUUUAAAAAACAAUAAGAGCUAGAGCUUAGAUAUUUGGCAUGAAACAUCUUCUAGUGAGUGUCUGCUAAGUUUGUUCAAAUAAAAGCCCUGGGGUCAAAAUUGGCCCCGCCCGGGGGGUCAUUGAUUUUCCCUAUAUGCAUAUAGUAAAAACUUAAAAAUCUUCUUUUAAAGAACCCAAAGAGCUAGAGCUAAGAUAUUUAGCAUGAAACAUGUUCUAAUGGGUGUCUACUAAGUUUGUGCAAAUAAAAGCCCUUGGGUUAAAUUGGCCCCGCCCCAGGGGGUCAUUGAUUUUCCCUAUAUGCAUAUAGUAAAAACUUAAACAAAUCUUCUUUUAAAAAGCCCAAUGAGCUAGAGCUUAGAUGUUUAGCAUGAAGCAUCUUCUUAUGGGUGUCUACUAAGUUUGUGCAAAUAAAAGCCCUUGGGUUAAAUUGGCCCUGCAACGUUGCGGGGGGGGGGGGGCUAUAUACAGGUGAGCGACCUCAGGGCUAUCAUGGCCCUCUUGUUUAAUAUAUUUUUUCCCCAUAUUCCUAGUACAGUAAUUUGUUACAAUUAACUUACAUUUCUCUUUCCUCUAUCAUUCUUAGUUUUUGUAUUUAAUAUUUUCCAAGUGGUAAAUAAAAACAAUAAAAUUUCACAAUUAUUUAUAAUAUUUUAUUUACUUGUGUAUUUCAUGCAAUGAGGCUAAAAAUGUAAAAAAAAGUAAUUUUUGAAGAAUUUUUUUUUUUAAAGUUAGACCAGUGUUGCUUCAGCCAUCAAUAUGUUAACUUGUCAUGUAGUAUGUACACAAACAUACUGGGAGAAGAAACAGAUGUUUGGCUUAAUGAAAGUACAAAAUGUUUUUGCUUAUCGUUUUCCAAUGAGUAGUUACAAUGUACAAGGUUAAAUUACUUUUUUGGAUGAUGUUCUUUUCUGUGGAAAGACCAGGUGUUGCUUCACAAUUGUUUUUUUUUUCCUCAUUAAUAUCAUUAAAUGUAAUUUCCAUUUUUGGCUUUUCGCUUGAUAUAUUGAUGUCCUGUGUGAGCAUCUAUUAGCAAUACAUGUAUCAAUGAGUGUCAUGAGUUACUUUUAAGACCAUAAAGUACAAAAUAAAACUAUAUUACAGCUG
Molecule: long non-coding RNA, 2449 nt
Organism: Ruditapes philippinarum (Manila clam)
Lineage: Eukaryota; Metazoa; Mollusca; Bivalvia; Venerida; Veneridae
Exons: 5
Source: RefSeq, a predicted model, not a curated record